AUGUAAUAAGAAAACUUUCAUGACCCUUACCAGUAAACUGUGUCUAAAUGGAAAGUUCUAGAAACUUAUACUUGCUGUUGUGAAUAUCUGUUACAAACCUAGAUGUUCUAGACAAGUUCAGUUGAUUUGAUUGUACUGUGAUCUUUGGCUGCUAUUGGAGAGUAGCAAAUGGAGCAUGAAGCAAACAGAACUCUAGGAGGGAAAGCACAUGGAGAUGGCUAUGUCUGUGAUGCAGGGAAAGCUGUUUGGGGAGCAUGUGAGAAAAGAAAGGGGGAUUUUGAUGUGUUAUUAAGGAGAAGGCACUUGUGUGAAAAAAACUGUGUUGAUUUCUUCUGUCAUGUGCUUGAGAAGAUUUAAGACCUGCUAUAUCUGAUUUCCAGGUGAUAAAAGAAGCUGUGGAGAUGCAUUGGUGUGGUUCUGGGGGGAAAUACACAGAGAACUGUGGCUUGGAGUAGGGUAGAGAGAAGAAUAGUGUCAUCAUACCCCUUUUGGAAGCUGUCUCAAAAAUUAACUAUAUCAAGGAUGAUAUCUGGAGCUGUGUGAAGUCCAUCAGAGCCAAGCAUGAAAAAGCAUUUAAGCAGCAUGAAAAAUCAAGAUUCCAGUUUUCUUCUGAUAGUCCUA
Molecule: long non-coding RNA, 621 nt
Filed under: Anser brachyrhynchus (Pink-footed goose)
Lineage: Eukaryota; Metazoa; Chordata; Aves; Anseriformes; Anatidae
Description: lncRNA (ENSABRG00000006802.1)
Source: RNAcentral